CUCUAGGUUUUAAUGCAGGGGAUUACAUUCCAGGACGAAUAGCCCUACUCGAUUCAUCUUCUAGGCCACAUCUACAUCGACGACAUGUGGCUAUUUGUCACUAAAGAUGACAUCAAAGGCUUACCUUGCUUCCAGGUUAAUUUGUUUCAUGUCCCAUAUAGUUCUUUCAAGUUUUUCUUUCUCGGUUUUAUGGUGACGAGGUUAUUUUUAUCCCAUUAAAUCAUGGUUUCUGACUUCCAGAAUUGUAUUGUACUUGUUAAGAAUCAAGGUUACUUUUGACAGAUGAUCACUUUGAACUCCAGCAACUAGCUAAAGAACUUUAGCUGCAUCACAAACUUUUUCUUCGAUGCUGGACUAUGUGGGUGUGCACGAGGCCAUUCGUGGGUUCAAUUGGAGUCAAGAGACUCGAGAUCUUGUAGCCUCUUUCUUUGAAAGCAGCUGAACGGAGCUAAUGAUUAGGUUCCCAUAUGGAGGUAAAAUUCUUAUUCUCUCUUCAAGAUUAUUGACAUCUCUAUUUAGCACAGCAUCACAGUUCUUAUUUAGUCAAUGUGUUCCAAAAAAAAAAAAAGAGAAAGAAAGUGUUCCACUGCAUAAAGGACAUCUUUGGUGGAUUUGUGCUUCAAUUUCUUUGGCAAUAAUUUCGUAUUAAGAUCAAGUUGUAUGUGCUACCUUUGAUCAAUUUGUAUACUUGGGUUCAAUUGCCUCAAAGUAAUUGAAGCUUCUCCCUAGUAAGCAACAAUUGGGCAAUUGGAAAUAUAUUUUUCCUUUAAUAGGCAAGUUAAGGAGACCUGAACUUGAGUUUCUUUAUUGGGGUAAUAGGACCUAAGCUGCUGGAGUGUCCAGUUGAAAAUCAACAUAACAAGCAACAAUCGCAAUAUUGUUGUAUCUUUUGAAGGAUAUUAUCAGUGAGGGUAUCUGAUUGAACUGGUCAUCUCAUCUUUCAAUUUUCUCUUCAAAUCUUUUUUCAGUUUCUUAUGAAUGAUUGAAAUGAAUGUCAUAAGAUCUACUUUUGACUUUAUUGUUGCGAAGAACAUUUUUUUUGUGGGAAGGUUCAGUUUGAGCUUAAUAUACUGAAUACAACACAAGUCUAAGGGCAAUUAUAAAUUUAUAAUCUGUUACAAGAUCCUUUAAUCAUCUUAUGAGUAUCAUGACUAAUAGCAAUUUUGAUUAUUUAUAAUUGAAAUUUGCAACUAAUUAUGGGUGUAUGUUAUUUUUGUGUGCUUCUAAAUACAUCCACUUAAUUUGUCUUCACACCUACCAUAUGCAUUGUAGAAUUUUUUAUCUUAUGGAGAAAUACUUGUACAUGUGGGUGUAGAGAAAAGUUUAGUGGGUGCAUUUAGAAGCUCCCAGAAUUCUCAUACCCUCAACCAUUAGCACAAUUCUUAGAUAAUUAAUUUCUUCCAAUUGAUUAUGAGAUAAAAGAAGAUGACUUCUGGUAUGAAAUCAGAAUAGUGUUGUUAAGUUACCACUAAAGGUUCUCCAACAUGUGAAGCCACUCAACCAAAUUCCAUUGGUUGGCCCUCUGUUUACACCUCCAGUGAACGUGAAUUCAGUGACACGGGUUGCUGUAAGAGCUGCAACUGAUCCAAUGUUUCCUCCUGGUAUUGUAGACGUAUAUGGUAUUCUACGAUAUAGCCAACAAAAGUCAGCUUAGUCAUUGCAUUGGGAAGCUUACCUGAGAAUUGGGCUUAAUAAAAAGAUUCAACACUCACACUUUGCUAGGUGACCAAAGCCAUGGUAGUAAUGGGUAAAGGCUUGUCAGUAAAGGCUGCAAACUAGUUGGAUGUGGUUUUGAAGUACCAAGUCUUCAAGUUUCCAAUGAUGAUCUUGCCAAAGUUGUUGAUACUUCAGAUGAGUGGAUAUCUGUUCGCACUGGGAUCCGCAAUCAACGAGUUCUAACAGGUCAGUUUUUCCUCAGAGUUCAUGCCUGCUGGCAUUUAUUUGGUCUUAUGAACAGUUUGAGGUAGCUUUGCUUACUGCUAUUAUCUGAGCUUCAUUUUGAUUGCAAGACUGAAAUUGAGCUUUAGCUAGACUUUGCUUACAUAUUGAUUUUUGUUUGCUUGGCUAGGGUGGGUUGGUUGGGUUACCUAGGUAUUGAUUUUGCAGAAUUCAUAAUUUUGUAUGGAACAAGUUUAUAGUUCCUGAAUCACCCUAACUGUAUUAUUAGACUGUGGCGGUCUUGAAGUCUGCCAACCAUGGCAUGCCUAAUCAGACAAAUGUUGAAACUUCCUAGUAUUAAAAUGUUGAAACUUCCUUUUGGUUGCCUAAUUAGACAAGUUACUGAACAUCUUUUAGUAACUAAAAGAAGGUUGAGUAGCACAAAUUAAUGCAUAGAACAAUAUUAUCUCAACAAAUAAACAUAUGUUUCAUACAAAAUUAAUAACCCAUCAUAUAGCUGUAACUCAACAAGAAGAAAAGAAAUGAUAAGAUUUUGACUCUACACAUUAAAUGGAUAGAUGCCGAGGUCUGCCACGUGGCCGUGCACUCACCAUGCUUUUUUCUUUAUUUUUCUGUGGAGCAUGGUCGGUUGAAUUCCGGCAUCUUCUCUUUCUCAAUCUGCACCUAGUUCUCAAUAAGUUUAUUCUCUCCCAUGAAAGUGAAUUUUCUCACUGUAGACAACCUAAUCAUAUACACCGCUAGCUUGGUGGAUUUGAAUACCAAAUUCAGGAAGUUGCAACUAUUCAAGAGGAGUGCCAGACCAAAAUCUAAAACCCUACAGAUGAAACUUCAAAUUUUGGUUUGCAAGAGAUUAAUGAUGAGAUAAAUAUGAAAGUAAAAAAGUACCUUAGAGGCGAAGGUGCUAAUUUGGAGGGUUUACGAGAUAAAAAAUUGAAAGGUCAGCUUGCUAUUAGAGAAGAAUUAUAUGGAAAAUCUGCAAAGGCUGCUGCCAAGGCUGAGAAGAUCUUCCUAUGGAUCAAACUGCUACAAACAUGGCUUCUACCCAUUGUCUCUCUUCCUAUUCAAACCACUUGUUUCGUAGCUUCAAGCAUUUUCAGGUUAGGGUGUUAUGCGAGAAGGCUAAGGGGAUUCUAAUGGAAGAAAGCAAUGUAACCAUCUUUUGUCUUGACUCUUCCCGAUAGGAAUAAACAAACUUGUCCAAUAUGCCAUAUAAUGUGGAAGUAGUAAAGAGUUCAAAUUGAUUCUUAUUCUUCACUAAUUCUUCACUUUGAUUCUUAUGUUUAUAAAUAUAUUUUUCUGCACUUAUUAUGCACAUUAUCCCAUAGUGAUUCUUAUUCUUAUUCUUAUAAAUAUAAUGUGGAAGUAGUAAAGAGUUCAAAUAUAUUCUUAUUCUUAUUCCUCAUGUAUUUUUCUGCACUUAUUACGCACAUUAUCCCAUAGUGAUUAACUUUAUGAUAUCUUGAAUUGAAUUGGCAUCAGGGUUCUUCACAAUUUGCCAUCCUCGGUGAAGCUACCAUCAACCUGCUGAUUAUGCUGAUGCACUGAAUCCUUCUACCAUUGCACUGCCUCUACAUGGAUAUGGAUGAACUCGUGCACAAAGCUAAAUUGUAUAGGAGUUUUGGCACUUUUUGUAUCUUUGGAAGGAUUAUAUAUUUUUGUAUACAUGUAUAUGGAAAAUAUUAGGGUAGACCAGUAGUUAUAUUUUUAGAUA
This is a non-coding RNA of Camellia sinensis, 3610 nucleotides long. NCBI's taxonomy places the organism in Eukaryota, Viridiplantae, Streptophyta, Magnoliopsida, Ericales, Theaceae. The record is from RefSeq and is a predicted model, not a curated record.